This 377-nucleotide ribosomal RNA is filed under the name uncultured bacterium. RNAcentral describes it as "bacterial SSU rRNA". It matches the Rfam family "Bacterial small subunit ribosomal RNA", at positions 521 to 896 of the family's 1533-position model. The record is from RNAcentral.
UAAGACGAGCUCUCCAAACGUUAUUCGGUAUCACUGGGCUUAAAGAGUUCGUAGGCGGCUUUGUAGGUGAGGUGUGAAAGCCCUCGGCUUAACCGAGGAAUUGCGCUUCAAACCGCAGAGCUAGAGGGAGACAGGGGUGAGCGGAACAGAUGGUGGAGCGGUGAAAUGCGUUGAUAUCAUCUGGAACACCGGUGGCGAAAGCGGCUCACUGGGUCUUUUCUGACGCUGAGGAACGAAAGCUAGGGGAGCGAACGGGAUUAGAUACCCCGGUAGUCCUAGCCGUAAACGAUGAGCACUAGUCUGUGGGGACCCUCACAUCCUCUCGGACGUAGCGAAAGUGUUAAGUGCUCCGCCUGGGGAGUAUGGUCGCAAGGCUG